This 406-nucleotide ribosomal RNA is filed under the name uncultured bacterium. RNAcentral describes it as "partial 16S ribosomal RNA". It matches the Rfam family "Bacterial small subunit ribosomal RNA", at positions 30 to 526 of the family's 1533-position model. The record is from RNAcentral.
AUUGAACGCUGGCGGCAGGCCUAACACAUGCAAGUCGAACGAGUGGCGGACGGGUGAGUAAUGGCUGGGAAACUGCCUGAUGGAGGGGGAUAACUACUGAAAACGGUAGCUAAUAUCGCAUACCAUCAGAUGUGCCCAGAUUGGAUUAGCUUGUUGGUGGGGUAACGGCUCACCAAGGCGACGAUCCCCAACUGGUCUGAGAGGAUGACCCGCCACACGGGAACUGAGAAACGGGCCAGACUCCUACGGGAGGCAGCAGUGGGGAAUAUUGCACAAGGGGCGCAAGCCUGAUGCAGCCAUGCCGCGUGUAUGAAGAAGGCCUUCGGGUUGUAAAGUACUUUUAGCGGAGAGGCGGUACCCGAAGAGGAAGCACCGGAUAACGCCGUGCCAGCAGCCGCGGUAAUUC